RNAcentral lists this transfer RNA (89 nucleotides) under Phycisphaerales bacterium. RNAcentral's name for it is "tRNA-Ser". It matches the Rfam family "tRNA". From Rfam's summary of the family: Transfer RNA (tRNA) molecules are approximately 80 nucleotides in length. Lineage: Bacteria; Pseudomonadati; Planctomycetota; Phycisphaerae; Phycisphaerales. RNAcentral also lists the same sequence under 1 other name. The record is from RNAcentral.
GGAGAGGUGGCCGAGUGGUUGAAGGCGCACGGCUGGAAUCCGUGUUGGCGGGGCAACCCGUCACGGGGGUUCGAAUCCCCCCCUCUCCG